GGUUCCGUAGUGUAGUGGUUAUCACGUCUGCUUUACACGCAAAAGGUCCUGGGUUUGAGCCCCAGUGGAACCA
Erinaceus europaeus (western European hedgehog) is the source of this 73-nucleotide non-coding RNA. NCBI's taxonomy places the organism in Eukaryota, Metazoa, Chordata, Mammalia, Eulipotyphla, Erinaceidae. The record is from Rfam.